UACGUAGGGGGCAAGCGUUGUCCGGAAUCAUUGGGCGUAAAGGGCGCGUAGGCGGCCUGAUCAGUCGGGGGUGAAAGCCUGUGGCUCAACCACAGAAUGGCCUUCGAUACUGUCAGGCUUGAGACCGGAAGAGGUAAGUGGAACUGCGAGUGUAGAGGUGAAAUUCGUAGAUAUUCGCAAGAACACCAGUGGCGAAGGCGGCUUACUGGUCCGGAUCUGACGCUGAGGCACGAAAGCGUGGGGAGCAAACAGG
Molecule: ribosomal RNA, 253 nt
Filed under: uncultured bacterium
Lineage: Bacteria
Description: partial 16S ribosomal RNA
Rfam family: Bacterial small subunit ribosomal RNA
Source: RNAcentral